RNAcentral lists this unclassified non-coding RNA (255 nucleotides) under Hevea brasiliensis (rubber tree). Lineage: Eukaryota; Viridiplantae; Streptophyta; Magnoliopsida; Malpighiales; Euphorbiaceae. The record is from RNAcentral.
UGCAGAUAUGCUGUGAGGUGUCGAGUGCGGAUCAGGGGCCGGGGAUCGCCCGGUCGCUUGAUGAGUCGGGGGCUGUGAUUGUGUUGGGGGAUGUUGUGCUACUCCGUCCGGAUCAGGUAGCCAAGGUGAUCCAGAGCCUGAUUACGCCGCCGACUGCUGCCGUCCCUCAGUGUGAUGGACGGAGUAGUGAGCUACGGGAGAUGGAAGAGAAGAAGGCGGUGAUCGACAAGAAGGCAACUGACCUGGUGAGGACGG